RNAcentral lists this ribosomal RNA (494 nucleotides) under uncultured bacterium. Its description in RNAcentral is "partial 16S ribosomal RNA". It matches the Rfam family "Bacterial small subunit ribosomal RNA", at positions 899 to 1397 of the family's 1533-position model. The record is from RNAcentral.
ACUCAAAUGAAUUGACGGGGGCCCGCACAAGCAGUGGAGUAUGUGGUUUAAUUCGAAGCAACGCGAAGAACCUUACCAGGGCUUGACAUCCCUUGACGAAUGUAGAGAUACAUUUUCCCUUCGGGGCAAGGAGACAGGUGGUGCAUGGUUGUCGUCAGCUCGUGUCGUGAGAUGUUGGGUUAAGUCCCGCAACGAGCGCAACCCCUGUUGCUAGUUGCCAUCAUUAAGUUGGGCACUCUAGCGAGACUGCCGGUGACAAAUCGGAGGAAGGUGGGGACGACGUCAAAUCAUCAUGCCCCUUAUGUCCUGGGCAACACACGUACUACAAUGGCUAUUACAGCAGGAAGCGAAAUCGUAAGGUGGAGCAAAUCCUCAAAAAUAGUCCCAGUUCAGAUUGUGGGCUGAAACUCGCCCACAUGAAGUCGGAAUUGCUAGUAAUGGCAGGUCAGCAUACUGCCGUGAAUACGUUCCCGGGCCUUGUACACACCGCCCGU